Molecule: ribosomal RNA, 253 nt
Filed under: uncultured bacterium
Lineage: Bacteria
Description: partial 16S ribosomal RNA
Rfam family: Bacterial small subunit ribosomal RNA
Source: RNAcentral
UACGUAGGGUGCAAGCGUUGUCCGGAAUUAUUGGGCGUAAAGAGCUCGUAGGCGGUCUGUCGCGUCUGCUGUGAAAACCUGGGGCUUAACCCCGGGCCUGCAGUGGGUACGGGCAGACUAGAGUGCGGUAGGGGAGACUGGAAUUCCUGGUGUAGCGGUGAAAUGCGCAGAUAUCAGGAGGAACACCGGUGGCGAAGGCGGGUCCCUGGGCCGUAACUGACGCUGAGGAGCGAAAGCAUGGGGAGCGAACAGG